ACGCUCGACACCUACUGGAGGCAGCAGUGGGGAAUAUUGCACAAUGGGGGAAACCCUGAUGCAGCGACGCCGCGUGAGCGAAGAAGUAUUUCGGUAUGUAAAGCUCUAUCAGCAGGGAAGAUGAUGACGGUACCUGACUAAGAAGCCCCGGCUAACUACGUGCCAACAGCCGCGGUAAUCUGAGCGGCUGGCAAGGC
This 197-nucleotide ribosomal RNA is filed under the name uncultured bacterium. RNAcentral describes it as "partial 16S ribosomal RNA". It matches the Rfam family "Bacterial small subunit ribosomal RNA", at positions 328 to 539 of the family's 1533-position model. The record is from RNAcentral.